AACGUAGGACGCAAGCGUUAUCCGGAGUUACUGGGCGUAAAGCGCGGGCAGGCGGCUCGAAACGUCUGAUGUGAAAUCUCCUCGCUCAACGAGGAGAGGCCAUUGGAAACGGUCGAGCUGGAGGGCAGUAGAGGUAGGCGGAAUUCCGGGUGGAGUGGUGAAAUGCGUAGAGAUCCGGAGGAACACCAGAGGCGAAGGCGGCCUACUGGGCUGGCACCUGACGCUGAGCCGCGAAAGCCAGGGGAGCGAACGG
RNAcentral lists this ribosomal RNA (253 nucleotides) under uncultured bacterium. RNAcentral's name for it is "partial 16S ribosomal RNA". It matches the Rfam family "Bacterial small subunit ribosomal RNA", at positions 524 to 775 of the family's 1533-position model. The record is from RNAcentral.